UACGUAGGGUGCAAGCGUUGUCCGGAAUCAUUGGGCGUAAAGCGCGUGUAGGCGGCCAGAAAAGUCCGCUGUGAAAACUCGAGGCUCAACUUCGAGCUGUCGGUGGAAACUUUCUGGCUAGAGUCCGGAAGAGGAGAAUGGAAUUCCUGGUGUAGCGGUGAAAUGCGCAGAUAUCAGGAAGAACACCCGUGGCGAAGGCGGUUCUCUGGGACGGUACUGACGCUGAGACGCGAAAGCGUGGGGAGCGAACAGG
RNAcentral lists this ribosomal RNA (253 nucleotides) under uncultured bacterium. RNAcentral describes it as "partial 16S ribosomal RNA". It matches the Rfam family "Bacterial small subunit ribosomal RNA", at positions 524 to 776 of the family's 1533-position model. The record is from RNAcentral.